This 427-nucleotide ribosomal RNA is filed under the name uncultured bacterium. RNAcentral describes it as "bacterial SSU rRNA". It matches the Rfam family "Bacterial small subunit ribosomal RNA", at positions 355 to 796 of the family's 1533-position model. The record is from RNAcentral.
UGGGGAAUAUUGCGCAAUGGGGGAAACCCUGACGCAGCAACGCCGCGUGAAGGAAGAAGGCUUUCGGGUUGUAAACUUCUAUCGACGGGGAAGAAAAAAAUGACAGUACCCGAGUAAGAAGCACCGGCUAAAUACGUGCCAGCAGCCGCGGUAAUACGUAUGGUGCAAGCGUUAUCCGGAAUUACUGGGCGUAAAGGGUGAGUAGGCGGUCAGCUAAGUCAUAUGUGAAAAUCCAGGGCUCAACCCUGGACCUGCAUAAGAAACUGGCAGACUGGAGUGCAGGAGAGGUAAGCGGAAUUCCUAGUGUAGCGGUGAAAUGCGUAGAUAUUAGGAAGAACACCAGUGGCGAAGGCGGCUUACUGGACUGUAACUGACGCUGAGUCACGAAAGCGUGGGGAGCGAACAGGAUUAGAUACCCCGGUAGUCC